AAUUAAAUGGCUGAAAAUUAGGCAAUAAAUUGUAAAUUUAUUUAUAAGAGAAUUAUUCUUUUUAAUUA
Molecule: transfer RNA, 68 nt
Filed under: Azana sp. WQY005
Lineage: Eukaryota; Metazoa; Arthropoda; Insecta; Diptera; Mycetophilidae
Description: tRNA-Tyr
Source: RNAcentral